GAUCCUGGCUCAGAUUGAACGCUGGCGGCAUGCUUUACACAUGCAAGUCGAGGGGCAGCGGGGUGUAGCAAUACACCGCCGGCGACCGGCGCACGGGUGAGUAACGCGUAUGCAACUUGCCUAUCAGAGGGGGAUAACCCGGCGAAAGUCGGACUAAUACCGCAUGAAGCAGGGAUCCCGCAUGGGAAUAUUUGCUAAAGAUUCAUCGCUGAUAGAUAGGCAUGCGUU
Molecule: ribosomal RNA, 228 nt
Filed under: uncultured bacterium
Lineage: Bacteria
Description: partial 16S ribosomal RNA
Rfam family: Bacterial small subunit ribosomal RNA
Source: RNAcentral